AUGAAUCUUCUGGCCUGGAACUGUCGAGGAUUGGGGUUGGAUUCAACAGUUGGCGAAAUCAGAGACCUGAUACGGUCCCACAACCCAGCGGUGGUGUUUUUGAGUGAGACAAAGAAGAUGGCUAGGGCUAUGGAGAAGCUAAAGUGGAGCCUUGGUUUUAAGGAAGGGGUGGCUGUUGAUUGCAAGGGCAAGAGUGGCGGCAUGGCACUAUGGUGGAGAGAUAGUGUUGUAGUGACGGUGCGUCCUUGGUGUCAAUACUUUGUCGAUGCCGCGGUUGUAUUCGAAGGAAAGGCUUGUAGGAUCAUUGGAUUCUACGGCGAGCCGAGAACGGAGCUCAGAGCUAAGUCAUGGGAAGCACUUAGGUACCUCAAAAGGCCAGAUGAUUAG
Molecule: ribosomal RNA, 387 nt
Filed under: Triticum aestivum (bread wheat)
Lineage: Eukaryota; Viridiplantae; Streptophyta; Magnoliopsida; Poales; Poaceae
Description: partial small subunit ribosomal RNA
Source: RNAcentral